RNAcentral lists this long non-coding RNA (798 nucleotides) under Numida meleagris (helmeted guineafowl). RNAcentral describes it as "lncRNA (ENSNMEG00000009811.1)". The record is from RNAcentral. Lineage: Eukaryota; Metazoa; Chordata; Aves; Galliformes; Numididae.
CACCAUCUCCCUAGGCCCUACUCUCCACAUGGGGAAAGCUUUCCCUUCUCUGCAGCCUCUAUCCCUGCUCAGUGCUCAGCUCACUGCACAAGGCCCAGGGCCUGCUCCCAGAGCUGCCGUAGCCCUGCUGGUGUUGCUGCUGGGGCUCAGCCCGCCCAGGGCUGCACAGUGCUUUUGCCCAAAGGCACGGUGGCCUGGUGGCCUCUUACUGCACUGGUCUUGGCCCAUCUGACUGGGACAUCGGAAUUAGCACUCUUCUCCAUUGUUUGGAACGCACCUGCAGUGAUUAUUUGCACAUCCUUCAAAACUGUCUUGUUACCUUCUAGUUUAAUGUAUAACAGUAUGAAGAAACCUUGUAAAAUUGAUAGCUACCCUACCUCUGGAAUGCAAGGCAACUGGCUAGAAGAGUACACCACAAGAAUUAACAAAGAGGCAGCAGAUUGGUGAACAGAGUUAGAGCCAAUAAGAAGCCUGACUAGAGCUAGUCAGCAUCUUCCAACUCAAACCAGGUCAGGGACCUGGUGAGGGACACUGCAAGCUUUCAUCAGAAAAGACCACCAAACGACCACCAAGAAGAUACCACGCAUGUGUAAUAGGACUGGGACCCGGGGCAGGGAACUCACUGUAAUAACCUAACUUUUGCUUGGAAAUCUAAUGCAUGUGUAAGCAGCUUGUUCUUUAAGUACCUGCCUUUCUUGUCAUCCAGUGUGCAGGGUAUGAGGGGAUGACCCCCCCUGCACCCAGUGUAGGUGAGCAGUGCUGAAUAAACAUACCUGCUUUAUAACUACUCUGUAGUUG